Molecule: ribosomal RNA, 464 nt
Filed under: Vreelandella stevensii
Lineage: Bacteria; Pseudomonadati; Pseudomonadota; Gammaproteobacteria; Oceanospirillales; Halomonadaceae
Description: partial 16S ribosomal RNA
Rfam family: Bacterial small subunit ribosomal RNA
Source: RNAcentral
CCUACGGGGGGCAGCAGUGGGGAAUAUUGGACAAUGGGGGGAACCCUGAUCCAGCCAUGCCGCGUGUGUGAAGAAGGCCCUCGGGUUGUAAAGCACUUUCAGUGAGGAAGAACGCCUGGUGGUUAAUACCCAUCAGGAAAGACAUCACUCACAGAAGAAGCACCGGCUAACUCCGUGCCAGCAGCCGCGGUAAUACGGAGGGUGCGAGCGUUAAUCGGAAUUACUGGGCGUAAAGCGCGCGUAGGUGGCUUGAUAAGCCGGUUGUGAAAGCCCCGGGCUCAACCUGGGAACGGCAUCCGGAACUGUCAAGCUAGAGUGCAGGAGAGGAAGGUAGAAUUCCCGGUGUAGCGGUGAAAUGCGUAGAGAUCGGGAGGAAUACCAGUGGCGAAGGCGGCCUUCUGGACUGACACUGACACUGAGGUGCGAAAGCGUGGGUAGCAAACAGGAUUAGAUACCCCGUAGUC